Molecule: unclassified non-coding RNA, 195 nt
Filed under: plant metagenome
Description: partial contains small subunit ribosomal RNA, internal transcribed spacer 1, and 5.8S ribosomal RNA
Source: RNAcentral
UCUCCGUUGGUGAACCAGCGGAGGGAUCAUUACCGAGUUUACAACUCCCAAACCCCUGUGAACAUACCAUUUGUUGCCUCGGCGGUGCCUGCUUCGGCAGCCCGCCUGAGGACCCAAACUCUUGAUUUUAUACAGUAUCUUCUGAGUAAAUGAUUAAAUAAAUCAAAACUUUCAACAACGGAUCUCUUGGUUCUG